Molecule: long non-coding RNA, 957 nt
Organism: Xenopus laevis (African clawed frog)
Lineage: Eukaryota; Metazoa; Chordata; Amphibia; Anura; Pipidae
Exons: 2
Source: RefSeq, a predicted model, not a curated record
GGUUGGUGAGCAACAUGUUGCUCGCGAGCUACUGGUUGGGGAUCACUGUAUUAGCAGAUGGAAAAGAAAAAAAGCUGCUCUGUACCGGGCUGAGGCUAUUACACACUGAUACCCUAAAUAAAAUGCAAGCAAGCCUUGUUAAGAACAUAAAUACCUUAAAGUUAAAUUAUUGAGCUCUAUGGCACUCUGGUGCAUAAAAACAAACAUAAUUACAUAGCGGGGAUUAAGGAAUAGCCUGCAUGCAUUAAUAAAACAUCAUUAGGUUGUUAUUAUUCGCCAUUAGUCUGCUGUGCCUGUUAACUGCCGUUAGAGACCUGAAAUUAACACUACAUUCAGGGUUAUAGUAGUUCCAUCAAUAGAACAGAUCGGGCAGGUGCAUUGGCACUAAGUGCAAUUAUAUGGAGAUGCAAGGGUGUUGUUAGACACGAGUACCUUUCAAUGAGUUGCAUCAGUAUAUUUAAUAUUUACUGUAAGUAUUAUCACACUGUCAGCUGCAUUAGUAGAUGAGCCUUUCUAACAUUGCCACAACUAGUGCCACAUUCAGCAGCAUAAUGACUUCGCCACAGCCCCCCCCCCCGGCAAAAAUUCUUCGUAGAGGCCCAGCUCUCUGCAACUUACCUGGCCCCCUGCCUUUCUGUCAACCCGGCCUUCCUUUGCAUUGAGUGCAUGUGCAUGUCCAACCCUGAGCAGGCAGCAGGCUCACAAAUUUUCUGUAGUUACACCACUGGAUACAUGCAGCUGUACUGGUGCUUUUAUGAAAAAGUCUUUCAAGUUGGUCUCCAGGUUAAGCAAUCGGUCUUUGAUCAGCCCUGUGACAACUCCUUCAUAAGUGGUAUAGUCCUUUGCAUUUUAAGCUGCAUGAUAUAUGCUUGCAUGAUAUUUUAUCGUGGUUAACAUGAUCUGUUGAAUUGAAAAUCUUUUGUGUUUUGGAAAACCUAAUAAAAAUGUUGAAAACAA